This 481-nucleotide ribosomal RNA is filed under the name uncultured bacterium. Its description in RNAcentral is "partial 16S ribosomal RNA". It matches the Rfam family "Bacterial small subunit ribosomal RNA", at positions 30 to 507 of the family's 1533-position model. The record is from RNAcentral.
AUUGAACGCUGGCGGCAUGCUUUACACAUGCCAGUCGAACGGUAACAGGCCGCAAGGUGCUGACGAGUGGCGAACGGGUGAGUAAUGCAUCGGAACGUGCCCAGUCGUGGGGGAUAACUACUCGAAAGAGUAGCUAAUACCGCAUACGAUCUAUGGAUGAAAGCGGGGGACCGUAAGGCCUCGCGCGAUUGAGCGGCCGAUGUCAGAUUAGGUAGUUGGUGGGGUAAAGGCUCACCAAGCCAACGAUCUGUAGCUGGUCUGAGAGGACGACCAGCCACACUGGGACUGAGACACGGCCCAGACUCCUACGGGAGGCAGCAGUGGGGAAUUUUGGACAAUGGGCGCAAGCCUGAUCCAGCAAUGCCGCGUGCAGGAAGAAGGCCUUCGGGUUGUAAACUGCUUUUGUACGGAACGAAACGGCUCUGGUUAAUACCCGGGGCUAAUGACGGUACCGUAAGAAUAAGCACCGGCUAACUACGUG